This 21-nucleotide microRNA is filed under the name Medicago truncatula (barrel medic). Lineage: Eukaryota; Viridiplantae; Streptophyta; Magnoliopsida; Fabales; Fabaceae. RNAcentral also lists the same sequence under 1 other name. The record is from RNAcentral.
UGAUUGAGUCGUGCCAAUAUC